This 801-nucleotide ribosomal RNA is filed under the name Hypotrachyna steyermarkii. RNAcentral describes it as "SSU rRNA". It matches the Rfam family "Bacterial small subunit ribosomal RNA", at positions 357 to 1118 of the family's 1533-position model. Lineage: Eukaryota; Fungi; Ascomycota; Lecanoromycetes; Lecanorales; Parmeliaceae. The record is from RNAcentral.
AGGAAUGUAUAGCGAUAGCUAGUUGCAUCAUUGUAAAUAUGAUGCAAAAUUGACUAUGUUGAAUAAAAUUCUAGGUAGAGUUAUGAUAAUGACAUUUUCUGCCUAUGUGUCUUGACCAAAUUACGUGCCAGCAGUCGCGGUAAUACGUAGAAGACUAGUGUUAUUCAUGUUUUCGGUUUAAAGGGUACCUAGACGGCAGAUCAAGCUUUCCGAGAAGAAAAAAAUAAUUAAGAAAAAAAUAAUUAAGAAAAAGGACUAAUUUGCUAGAGUUACUUACGAGGGGGUUUUAAAGUACUGCUGGUGUAGAGAUGAAAUUCUGUCAUACCUCUUUUCGAAAGAAAAAUAAUGGCACAGGUAUAGGCGAAGGCAUCCCCUUAUGUGAUAACUGACGUUGAGGGACGAAGGCUUUAUAUAACGAACAGGAUUAGAUACCCUAGUAGUGGAGCAGUAAAUGAUGAAUGUCAUAGAUUAGAUUAGUUUAUUCUAUAAAUGAAAGUGUAAGCAUUCCACCUCAUGAGUAAUUUGGCAACAUUGGAAUUGAAAUCAUUAGACCGUUUCUGAAACCAGUAGUGAAGUAUGUUGUUUAAUUUGAUAACCCGCAAAAAACCUUACCACAAUUUGAAUAUUUAUAUUAUAUUUAUUGUUUUUUUUAUUAAUUUUAUUUAAGCAUUCAAGAUUAAGGGAGAAAAUUAAUAAAGAGGCAAUAAAAUAUAUUUACAAGCGUUGCACGGCUGUCUUCAGUUAAUGUCGCGAGAUUUUGGUUAGAUCCAUUAAAUUAACGUAAACCCUCACUUUAUUUUU